RNAcentral lists this ribosomal RNA (253 nucleotides) under uncultured bacterium. RNAcentral describes it as "partial 16S ribosomal RNA". It matches the Rfam family "Bacterial small subunit ribosomal RNA", at positions 524 to 777 of the family's 1533-position model. The record is from RNAcentral.
UACGGAGGGUGCGAGCGUUGUCCGGAAUCACUGGGCGUAAAGGGCGCGUAGGCGGCCUGAUAAGUAGGGGGUGAAAUCCUGCGGCUUAACCGCAGGGCUGCCUUCUAAACUGUCAGGCUCGAGCACAGUAGAGGCAGGUGGAAUUCCCGGUGUAGCGGUGGAAUGCGUAGAGAUCCGGAAGAACACCGGUGGCGAAGGCGGUCUGCUGGGCAGUAGCUGCACUGAGGCGCGACAGCGUGGGGAGCGAACGAGG